Molecule: non-coding RNA, 5101 nt
Organism: Aegilops tauschii subsp. strangulata
Lineage: Eukaryota; Viridiplantae; Streptophyta; Magnoliopsida; Poales; Poaceae
Source: RefSeq, a predicted model, not a curated record
GGUAUCUUGAUGUGUAGAAAUUCCAGGAUUUUGGGACACCGAGUGCUCCCCCAAUUGCACGAGAUGGGGAGGUGGAUGGCAUUUUCGAUGCAAUUGCUGACAUGAACAGAGGCUUUGAGAAGACAGAGAUCUCAUCAGUGGCGGAUAUACUAGCUCAAGAUGUUCAUGAGCUUCCUACGAGAUCAAAUGUUCAGGCGGAUGGUGUUCAGAUGCCGUACAUCGUGAACAAUUUAUUAGCUCAGAUACCCAGCUCUUCACAACUAAUGUCCAAACUGCAUGGCGAUCAUUUGUUGCAUAUGAGAGAACAUGGGCUCUCUCAGAGCUCAGGCGAUUCUGGUCGUCCGAUGCGUUUGCUUGAUGCGUUUUCGGGCGUUGGAUCGAGCGGUGGGCGGAGCUGGGCCGUCGGAUGGGACUCGUUCCCCUGGAGCAAUGAAUAGUUACCCCGCGGGAAAAGAUCUCGUGCCACCGCGUGUGAAUUCGGUGCCCCACCGAGGGCAUUUUCGUCUUUCAACAUACCCGAGGCCAUAUGGCUUCCUCUGAUUCGUGGCUUCAUCCCCAAUCCGGUGACAAGCUAGGGUUCCGUUUUGUCCUCUCUCCCCCGCAUCUCUCGUGCAGCCGCCGCUCUCGCUCCUCUCCAUCACUCCGGCCCGAGCCACCGCUGCUCCUCUGCGCCUCCCUCCUCCUCCACGCGUGAUAGUACCGGCCGUUCCUUGUGCUAGCCCCACGCGGCCACGACGGGCGGCGGAGCCAUCAGGAACGGCGACGGUGGGCUGAUGCUCUGCAGGUCGCCAUGUGCGCGGAGGUGACGGCAGGAGGGCGUCGGCCUUUUCCAACUCGAGGAGGAGGAGGAGGGUGGUAUGGAUCCCUCCUCCCCUGUCGUCAUCACGAGAGGAGAGGGAGAACGGCCGGCUAUGGCGGCGGUCAGAUCCAUGCUGGGAACAGGAGACUGAUGCCAACGCCAUGGAGCUACUCUGUUGUUCGUCAAGGCAGCCUCCCAAAGCAACUGAAGGUCGCUUGCUCCUCAUCAACAACAUACAAAGCUUGGGCUGACCGAGGACUACGGCUAUGGCCGCUUCUCUGACCACACGACCGAGGAGGGCGGCGUGUGCUCCAGCGAAUCCAGCCUGUUCCGAAGGGUGAGGGACAUGUUACACCUGUACGGUAAUGGCGUCGAGGACAAGAUCACGUCGUUGUUCAGCCGGAGGGGCAGCGGGCUUGCCCGGGGACAGUCCAAGGAGAACCUUCGGGUCGAGGUGCGAGCCGCGGCCGGGGAAAGCUGACGUGGUCAGGAUCAGGUGGACUGCAGCUCUCAUCGGUAUCUUGAUGUGCAGAAAUUCCAGGAUUUUGGGACACCGAGUGCUCCCCCAAUUGCACGAGAUGGGGAGGUGGAUGGCAUUUUCGAUGCAAUUGCUGACAUGAAUAGAGGCUUUGAGAAGACAGAGAUCUCAUCAGUGGCGGAUAUACUGGCUCAAGAUGUUCAUGAGCUUCCUACGAGAAAAAAUGCAAUUCAGAUCAAAUGUUCAGGCGGAUGGUGUUCAGAUGCCGUACAUCGUGAACAAUUUAUUAGCUCAGAUACCCAACUCUUCACAACUAAUGUCCAAACUGCAUGGCGAUCAUUUGUUGCAUAUGAGAGAACAUGGGCUCUCUCAGAGCUCAGGCGAUUCUGGUCGUCCGAUGCGUUUGCUUGUUGCGUUUUCGGGCGUUGGAUCGAGCGGUGGGCGGAGCUGGGCCGUCGGAUGGGACUCGUUCCCCUGGAGCAAUGAAUAGUUACCCCGCGGGAAAAGAUCUCGUGCCACCGCGUGUGAAUUCGGUGCCCCACCGAGGGCAUUUUCGUCUUUCAACAUACCCGAGGCCAUAUGGCUUCCUCUCAUUCGUGGUUUCAUCCCCAAUCCGGUGACAAGCUAGGGUUCCGUUUUGUCGUCUCUCCCCCGCAUCUCUCGUGCAGCCGCCGCUCUCGCUCCUCUCCAUCACUCCGGCCCGAGCCGCCGCUGCUCCUCUGCGCCUCCCUCCUCCUCCAUGCGUGAUAGUACCGGCCGUUCCUUGUGCUAGCCCCACGCGGCCACGACGGGCGGCGGAGCCAUCAGGAACGGUGACGGUGGGCUGAUGCUCUGCAGGUCGCCAUGUGCGCGGAGGUGACGACAGGAGGGCGUCGGCCUUUUCCAACUCGAGGAGGAGGAGGAGGGUGGUAUGGAUCUCUCCUCCCCUGUCGUCAUCACGAGAGGAGAGGGAGAACGGCCGGCUAUGGCGGCGGUCAGAUCCACGCUGGGAACAGGAGACUGAUGCCAACGCCAUGGAGCUACUCUGCUGUUCGUCAAGGCAGCCUCCCAAAGCAACUGAAGGUCGCUUGCUCCUCAUCAACAACAUACAAAGCUUGGGCUGACCUAGGACUACGGCUACGGCCGCUUCUCUGACCACACGACCGAGGAGGGCGGCGUGUGCUCCAGCGAAUCCAGCCUGUUCCGAAGGGUGAGGGACAUGUUACACCUCUACGGUAAUGGUGUCGAGGACAAGGUCACGUCGUUGUUCAGCCGGAGGGGCAGCGGGCUUGCCCGGGGACAGUCCAAGGAGAACCUUCGGGUCGAGGUGCGAGCCGCGGCCGGGGAAAGCUGACGUGGUCAGGAUCAGGUGGACUGCAGCUCUCAUCGGUAUCUUGAUGUGCAGAAAUUCCAGGAUUUUGGGACACCGAGUGCUCCCCCAAUUGCACGAGAUGGGGAGGUGGAUGGCAUUUUCGAUGCAAUUGCUGACAUGAACAGAGGCUUUGAGAAGACAGAGAUCUCAUCAGUGGCGGAUAUACUGGCUCAAGAUGUUCAUGAGCUUCCUACGAGAUCAAAUGUUCAGGCGGAUGGUGUUCAGAUGCCGUACAUCGUGAACAAUUUAUUAGCUCAGAUACCCAGCUUCACAACUAAUAAGAAAGAUACGUGUUGUACCGCAAAGACCAAAGCUUCGCGCAACAUCAUCCUUUAGAAAUCUCUACAUGCAAGCUGGUCGCGAAUAUGUCAAACAGAUUUCUAAAAUUCUGAAGAGCCAGGUUACUAUUCUGUCAUCCACAUCAUCUACAUAUUUUCCUGAAGGUUAAGAGGAUGCAAAUGUUUUUAUGGCUUAUACCUGGCAGAGUUCAUUUCUGUAUUUAGUAACACAAUAUCAUACUCGAGGGACCUGACUAUAUUGCCUACUGCAUGCAUCAUUACUGGGAAGCAAAAAACUUGGAUUGUGCGGCUCUGUUUGUUCCUGAGGUGAUUAGCCUGUUGUUUUCAGCUAUGGAAUUGCAGCAGCGAGCUAACUCUUCCCUGCAUUUUUUGGGUCAAGUCUUAGCCAACACCUAUGGGAAGAGGCCUAUUUUACAGUCUCACAAUCCAAGUGUAAGAGUGGAAACGAUCUCCUUCAUGCCCCUGUCAUGUCUACUUCUUUAUCAACUCCAACUUCCGUUAUGUGCUCUAGCAUACACAGCCUGCAGGUAUCCCCUUUCUUCUAUGUUGCUCUGUGCCUGCUAUGCUUAAGUGCUUACUAUGUGAUCCUCGACGACGGAUGCCAUUGGCAGCAUAGUCAUUUGUUUAUUUCAUUUCAAGCCUCUGUUGACUACAGUGUAACCAUGCAUUAGCAAUUACUCCCUCAGUUCCUAAAUAUUUGUCUUUCUAGAGGUUUUCAACAAAUGACUACAUACGAGCAAAAUGAAUGAAUCUACGCUCUAAAAUAUGUCUAUAUACAUCCGUAUGUGGUAGUCCAUUUGAAAUCUGUAAAAAGACAAAUAUUUAGGAACGGAGGGAGUAGAAGCUACCUCGUUCAAUUGCAUGCAUCCUUUGGUUCUUACUGUUUGGUAUCCAUCAACCAUUGUUCAUAUUCACGCUUCAUGCACAAUCAUUGGGUUGGUACUGGGAAUACCUCAUUUAUGUUGGUGUCGCUGAUCUUAUGCAUGUUCUUCAAAGCUUCUUCUUUUUAUUGCCUAUAUGUUUAUUUGUACUAAUUCAGUAAGUUUAAUUUAUCUGUUUGCAUAAUAUGUCCUACAUAUUGAUAGAGUAGUAUUUCGUUACUUGAUUAAUGGUCAAACAUACUAUUUCCGUAUCUUUACAAUAGGUGCCUCAAAUGAAAAUGUCUUAGUCUUCUACACUGAAUCUACCAUAUGCAGUUUAGUUAUUUUAUAAGAAUUCAUCACCAAAACUACUUUGUUGGGUCAGAAUUUCAUAGACGUUCCUCAAUCCUCAUCAUGAGAUUAACUUGUAGAAGAAUCUAUUCAUAACCUUAUGAUGUGUGUGAUGUUGGGUUAUGUUGAAAGGCUUUUUUUUUGCCUUGCUUCCAUUUUCUUCCAUGUGCAUUGACUAAACAUAUGUUUGAAAAUGUGGCAUGGUCAAACAUUUUUUUGCCUUGCUUCCAUCUUCUUCCAUGCUGAUCAAUAGCGCUUUUUCUUGGGCCUUGCUUUGAGAGGGCCGCUGGUCGAGGCCAUUUCGGUCAUUUUUCCGUCUGAUACAUAGGUCAAACCUAGAAGGAUUUACACUCUCUCGUCGACGUUUUCUUUUCUUGUUGCACCGGUGUGGCAUCGCCUUUGGACAAGCCCUUUGUCUCGAUUCUCCCUUUGCAGCUCAGCUCCACCGACCAGAUGAUGAUGGCUGACAAAGAGCUCGAUGUCCAUGGCUCGCCGGGUUCCGCUGGCUGCACUAACAGCUGUGUGCGGGGGCUUGCACAGGAUACCCAACAAGUGUUUAGGAUUCCACACAGGGCAGUUCUUGACAUGCUCCUAGCACACCUUGGCCUAUCACCGGCUCAGUAUGAACAUGUUGUUCAUGAGGACGACAAGAUCCAUGUGACCGUCUUUUUCAACACCUCUACGUUGGGUCCUGGAGGACCAAUCAGUAUGAAAGUGUCAUGUCGUCAUUCCUACUAGUCUAUUUUAUGCCUAAGACAUGCAAAGUUGUGGAUCGUCUGUAAGCUACCAUGUGCUAUCGUAUCUCCUAUGCCUAUGAUAUUUUCUAGUAAACCUAUCGUGCAACGUGCUUUCUAUGUCCGUACAUUGUUAGGUGGCUUCUUAUUGUGUGCAUACAAAUGAACCUUAUUUCUGAAUGAUUCUUCAUUAGUUUUUUUAUUUUUAUCAUGGUUGACAUAAGAAUGA